Triticum aestivum (bread wheat) is the source of this 2564-nucleotide long non-coding RNA. RefSeq lists it as uncharacterized. The record is from RefSeq and is a predicted model, not a curated record. Lineage: Eukaryota; Viridiplantae; Streptophyta; Magnoliopsida; Poales; Poaceae. The transcript has 4 exons.
CCUGGACGGUGGACCUGAACUGCGUGGCUGUUCCAUGCCGUCGCGGAUGGACGUCAGAGCCAUGGCUCGAGUCGUCAGCGAAUUUCCGAUCCGUUAAUCAAUCCUGCUGACGACGUCAUUUGCAGUGCAGUAAAUGCAAAAUUGGGUGGGUGGGUCGAGUUGUCUCAUGCCUCCGCCAGUUGCUGGUUUGGUCUGGUAGCAUCGAGAACGGCUCGGCGACGGCAGAUCCAUCCCUUAGGGUUCCGGUGACCUGGCUCCGGCGGCCAUGGAGUUCUUGAUGCAGCCGGUCAACAGUAGAACGCUCAUAGAGGUAGUGAAUGACAGUGACAUACCAAUGGAGCCUCUUCGCUAUCUUGUUCUCUCGAUGCCGGCCGGGGAGUUGCCGACGGCGAGUGCAUCGAGUGCAGAUGCGCUCAUCUGCUCGGCGAGUGCUGUGGCAACAGGUGAGGGUGCAGACCAGCCAUAAGCUUCUGAACACUCUAUAGAACAAGUUGAUCCACAGGCACCAGGAUGGACACGAAGGUAUGGUUGCCUGCCACAGCCUGUAGAUAUUAGCUAAGUUGCUAGAUUAGUAGAGUUGUUGAAAUUGGAUUCAGCACGGGGAUGCAGGUUGUUUUUGUAUGGACUGGAUAAGUAGUCAUGUUUGCCGUCAGGGAACCCCUUGAGUAAACUAGUUCAGAUAAGUGAAAACAGAGUAUGCAGGGGCUGUAUUAGAGUGUGGUCGCAUGAAGCCCAUGGAAUGAAUGCACAAUGGAGUGGUGAAUAAAGAUAGGAUCAAGAAAAGAUACGUUUGCAAACUGUAUGAAUAAAAAUGGCAGGGAUUCUGUUAGAGUAAACUGCUCUUAUUUUAGCAUCCGUGAAUCUAAUUGCAAUUGCACAUUUAUGGCACCUCAAAAUUCAGGGUCCGGAUUGGAGCUGCUGCGCCAGGACGUGCCCCCAACCCGGAUAGGAUGACAACAUUAGAGAAAUCGGUCCGCGUGUUUGCGGAGGCACCCGGUGAGAAUGUCAUUGUGCCAAAAAUAGGGAUCAGCUUCGAUACACUUGGAGAGGCCUAUGAUUUCUACAACUUGUAUUCCUAGGAGAAAGGAUUUGGAACUAGAUAUGGAAAGAGCAAACUAAAUGUCAACAGGACAAAGUGCAUGCAAGAGAUAGUCUGCGGUUGUGCGGAUAAACCAAUUGUGGGGAAUACUCGUUCCUGCCAAUGUGAAUGUCCUGCCUUAGUGAGACUGCUACGGUCAAAGGAUAAUGGGUGGUAUAUAACAGAGCACUGGGACGAGCACAACCACUCAUUGUCUCCGACAUAUGGGCAGACAUUAUACUGGCCAUCUCACAAACAUAUCAACGUAUACAGCUGAGAUUUUGGUGAAGCAGCUGAGGGGAAAUAAUGUGAACCUGUCGAAAGUAUACAACAUCAUAGGGAGCUUUUUUGGGAAGAUGGAGAAUGUACCGUUCACGAAACGAGCUUUGCGGAACUUGUGUGGGAAAAUUGGCCGUGACAAGGCAGAGGAUGAUGUUCGGAAGACAAUGGAGGUAUUUCAAGAGCUAGGUGCUAAGGAUCAGCAAUUCUCACAUUCUCACAUUUAUCGUGUUAUCAGACAAUUAUUGGCCAUAUGCAGCUGCAGGUCAAUAACGUCGGUCAUUUGACGGUGCCGGCCCCGGUGCUCCUUGCCGCUAGUCGGUGUCGACAUUUGCAGCUUUUGGGGAGAAGAGUAGCGAAGCAUCGAGGGACGCGUUCAACAUCGAGAAAGUAGGCGAAAGUGCUCUUGGGAGCCCGAGCUCACAUGCACCCUUUGCUACAGUAAAAUUGAAAAAAUAUUUAAAAAGCUCAAAAAAAUCUGAAUGUUUUUGACAACAAACAUUGAUGUAUUUUUCACAUGCGUGCAAAAAAUCAUGACAAAAAGACAUUCAUGCAGGUCUCGGUGAAAAAAAACGAUGCUCCAAAAUGCUUCCAAAAACAGUUUUUUUUUCAUGAUUUUGUCUUUUUUGUCUAGGCCUCCAUAAAUGUCAUUUGAUCACGAAAAUUGGCACGCAUGUGUAACACACAUCAAUAUUUGUUGCCAAAAAAAUUCAGAUUUUUUUGAACUUUUAAAAUAUAUUUUUUCGAUUUUACUGUAGCAAAGGGUGCAUGUGAACUCGAGCUCACAUACUCCAUGUCCGAAAGUAGGCAUGAAGAAUGCAUGCUUCCUUACAUGGGAUUCCCUGCUUCUUCAUGCCUGACAAUUGCUUCCUACCACAACUGCGCCCGUGCACGAGGACAUUAGACAUGUCAAGUCUUCCUGUGGCCCUAACUAGCCACCACACUCCAGCUACGUCGGUCUGAUCUCAUCAUUGUCUCUCAGAUCUCAUCGACGCUAUUCCUUGAAGAGACCCCUCUUUGGAUGGUGCUCAUGCUCUAGUAGGGGCUUCGUCCCGUUGUGCUUCGAUGUCUACAUCUUGUUGUAUGGAAGCAAAGUCCAAUCUAUAUUGGAAGGUUUCUUUCUUUGGAAGCAAAGUAUGAUAUCAUUUAGAAGCAAUGUUGAUGGAAGCAUACAUCAAUCAGAAGGUUGGACAUUGAAAAUAUGUAU